Molecule: ribosomal RNA, 492 nt
Filed under: uncultured bacterium
Lineage: Bacteria
Description: bacterial SSU rRNA
Rfam family: Bacterial small subunit ribosomal RNA
Source: RNAcentral
AGAGUUUGAUCCUGGCUCAGGAUAAACGCUGGCGGCGUGCUUUAUGCAUGCAAGUCGAACGGUUUCGAUUUAUCGAGAUAGUGGCAAACGGGUGAGUAACGCGUAAGUAAUCUGCCCCUAAGUAAAGGAUAACUCUGAGAAAUUAGAGCUAAUACUGUAUGUGGUGGUGGAGGUAGUGCUUCAUCACUAAAGCCUUCGGGUGCUUGGGGAGGAGCUUGCGUCCGAUUAGCUAGUUGGUAGGGUAAUGGUCUACCAAGGCGAUGAUCGGUAGCUGGUUUGAGAGGACAUCCAGCCACACUGGGACUGAGAUACGGCCCAGACUCCUACGGGAGGCAGCAGUGGGGAAUAUUGCGCAAUGGGGGAAACCCUGACGCAGCGACGCCGCGUGGAUGAUGAAGGCCCUUGGGUUGUAAAAUCCUGUUCUGGGGGAAGAAAGCUUAAAGGUCCAAUAAACCCUUAAGUCUGACGUACCCCAAGAGAAAGCUCCGCUAA